Molecule: long non-coding RNA, 5394 nt
Filed under: Chlamydomonas reinhardtii
Lineage: Eukaryota; Viridiplantae; Chlorophyta; Chlorophyceae; Chlamydomonadales; Chlamydomonadaceae
Description: long non-coding RNA (CREI_LNC001072)
Source: RNAcentral
GCUGAUAAGGUGUGCAGCGAACUGCGCACCGCGACCCAGAAGGUGCUGCAGUGCAGUGCGGACUUCGAGGCUGCCAGCACGGCGUGCCCUGUGUGUGGCAAGCCCGGAGAUCCCAAGGGCAUGCCCCCUUUCAAAGUCACAGUAGUGACCUGGGACCAGCCCGUGAGCAUUGAUGUGCCACACGUGACCUGCAGCAGCUGCAUGCGUGGGUACACCCUGCGGCCCACUGUGCUCGGCUGCCUGCCCGAUACCAUUGUAUCGUGGGAUUUGCUUCGGCAACGUGACGGCAAUGUCAUCCUCUGGUGGCAGACCAGCCUUCUACAGCAGUUCACCAGCCUACAAUACUACAACGGGCACCUGGGCAUGGACCGCUUUUGUGCGGCUCUCAUGGCCAACUGGCAGGAGAACGGCUGUGAUAGCCAGGGGCUUACGCUGACGCAGCUGAGGCAGCGCCUUAGUUCUACAUCGCAGCGGUACCGAUUUCUGCGCGGGCUAGUGGAGGACCUGCCGGAACAGCUUCCGGGCUGGCCCGCAGGAGCCCUCAACGCAUGCGCCUGCUGCGGUGAUGCCGAGGGUUGGCAUGGUACUGGCGCGGGCAGCAGCAGCGGCGGCGGCGGCGGCGGUGCUGCCGGUGGCGCGACCACGGCCGCAGCGCCCCUGGCGGAUCUGGCGCACAGGGCCCGGGGGCAGGAUGGGCCGGUGGCUGAGGCGGCGGCGCCAGACGCACCGAGCGCAGGUGCCGGCAUGGGCAGCAGCAGCGGCGGCGGCGGCGGCGGUGCUGCUGGCGAUGCGACCACGGCCGCCGCGCCUCUGGCGGAUCUGGCGCACAGGGCCCGGGGGCAGGACGGGCCGGUGGCUAAGGCGGCGGCGCCAGGCGCGCCCAGCGCAGGCGCCGGCAUGGGCAGCAGCAGCGGCGGCGGCGGCGGCGGUGCUGCCGGUGGCGCGACCACGGCCGCAGCGCCCCUGGCGGAUCUGGCGCACAGGGCCCGGGGGCAGGAUGGGCCGGUGGCUGAGGCGGCGGCGCCAGACGCACCGAGCGCAGGUGCCGGCAUGGGCAGCAGCAGCGGCGGCGGCGGCGGCGGUGCUGCUGGCGAUGCGACCACGGCCGCCGCGCCUCUGGCGGAUCUGGCGCACAGGGCCCGGGGGCAGGAUGGGCCGGUGGCUAAGGCGGCGGCGCCAGGCGCGCCCAGCGCAGGCGCCGGCAUGGGCAGCAGCAGCGGCGGCGGCGGCGGCGGUGCUGCCGGCGAUGCGACCACGGCCGCCGCGCCUCUGGCGGAUCUGGCGCACAGGGCCCGGGGGCAGGAUGGGCCGGUGGCUGAGGCGGCGGCGCCAGGCGCGCCGAGCGCAGGCGCCGGCAUGGGCAGCAGCAGCGGCGGCGGCGGCGGCGGUGCUGCCGGCGAUGCGACCACGGCCGCCGCGCCUCUGGCGGAUCUGGCGCACAGGGCCCGGGGGCAGGAUGGGCCGGUGGCUGAGGCGGCGGCGCCAGGCGCGCCGAGCGCAGGCGCCGGCAUGGGCAGCAGCAGCGGCGGCGGCGGCGGCGGUGCUGCCGGCAGCGGCGGCGCGAGCCCUUCACUUGGGUUCGCGUGGCGGCCAAUGCUGGCGGCCGCUGAGCCGGCUGGUCGAGGCCCUCCUAUCUUUCAUACUGGCGCGUUCGAUUGCAACUUCAAGCUAAGCCUGUUUAAGAAGAAGGGACUCACCCACAAGUACGGCCUCGACUACCGCCAACUGUCGCGCCGGCGGUACACCCUGGGCAAUGCAUACGUGAGGGGCUUUGAGCCGCCCAAGGGGUCUGCGGACGUAGGUCGCAAUGCGGACUGCUCCAGCUUCACCGCGGACAAGGUGCUGGCCAAGGAGGAGGCCGGGGUAAGAGGCAAGGCCAGGGGUGAGAUCAUAGAUUUGCUUUUCCCGCUACGCCGCUGUGCUGCUAUCCCGUGAUGUUGAGCUUGUCGCUGAAACGCCACGCGACCCUCGCUGCAGAAGCUUGUGACUGCAGCUGGCGUGGUCCUGUGUCGGCAUGGUAUGCUACUUCGCCUCGUCAACCUCUUUCACGGGGAACGUCACAUGUACGCGACGGCGGCGGCGGCGUCCAUCCUGGCUGCGGGAACCGCUGUGCAGUUCUGGUGGUACGAUAUUGCCUGCCGCUGGAGCAAGUCGUGGCAGAAGUGGCACCAAGCUCUGGACCCGUCAACGGCGUGGCUGGGCGUCGCAGCGGCCAUGGUCAGCCUCGUGCCGCCGUUCCACAGCUAUGCCCACAGGUGUGCUUACGGGGAGGGGGCGGGCGUUCGGGGCAUGUAGGUUGCAAAGUACUCUAGCUGCUAUCUUACUCCGCAUCCCUUCAACCAUGUGCCUGCAGCUACGAGUGCCAGAAGACUUUCGGGCACCAAGGGCAAACGGGGGCAGGGCGGGGCACAGGAGAGAUCGUCGAAAUCUUCAACUCGCAGGUCGGGAAGCAGGGCAAGGUGCUGCGUUACACGUCGCCUGCGCACCGUGAGAGUGUUCUGGAGGAUGUGGGGCGCCGCUACUGCCGCCAGGUAAGGCUUUGUCGAGUGUCGAGGGUAGGCAGGCGGCAGGUUAGGCAGGCGCUCAUUCUGUGUGCCGUGAUGUGCAGGUCGAGCUUGGCCUGCCCGCUCGGGUUUACCGCAUGCGGUUGCGGGCCCAGGCAGCACAUGAUGCAGCGCAGGAUCGGAUUGAGACUCUGGAGGCCACGCUGACGCCGCAACAGGUGCGACUGGACUUCCCUGUAGACUCGUGUUACCUUGCUUACGGUUUCCAUGUGCCCAGCAGGUCGAGAUGGCAUGUGCCGGGCAUGCCGCUCAGCGCUCCCAGCAGCGGCAUGACCAGCCCAAACGACACGCCAACGCGGAUGCAGUGGCAGGCGAGCCAGGGUGGAAGGCAGUGUAUGCCCGCUGCCGCCUGGCGCUGAUGAAGCUGCAGCGUCUGGACACGGUAGACAACCCGGCCGACCCCGUGCCUCUCAGGUGCGCAAGCGGUGAAAGCCUUAUCUGCAUGCCUUACUUUCUUGCUUGGAUUGCAGUCGCUGAUGCCAUAUGUUGCGUGGGUGCAGCGUUCUGGUUGCCGGAGGUGACAAUCUGACGCUCCGACAGCGGCCUGCACUCAUCAAGCAGCUGGAGGAAGAGAAGAAGAAGCUGGAGCAGGAGCAUGCGGCGGCUGCUCCGCCACCACGCGAGUGGGAGGCGGACUCUGCUGCAUUCAAGGAGGCUGUCAGUGACCUGGCCGAGAGCGAGAUCAAGAAGAUCACCAGUGAAAUCGAGGUAGAGUGAUUGUGGUUGGGCAUGUGUAAGGCAGUCGGGGUAUAGGGCAGUGCCACGGCAGGCUGACUGUUGCGCUGCGGAAGUGUGCGCGGCGUUCACUAAUUUUGGGCUUCAUUGCAGGGCCUGGUGCUGGACUACAACAGCCUGAAGGUCAUAACGGAGAAGCUGGCGGGGAGGAAGAAGGAGCAGAGGUAUGCCAUCAAGGAGAAGCAGCGCGUGAAGGGGCAGCUUAGACAGCAGUGGGGCCGCUUGGCUGCCUGGUGCCGUGUGGACGCUGCAGGGCAGCAGGGACGGGAGGAGAAGGCACGCAACAAAAAGAUCUUGGAAGGGGGCUUGGCGGCGGUGCUUCGGGGGACGUUUCCAUGGGCCAGCGAUUCUGGGGCUGGAUCCAGCGGAGGGCGAGCAGUCGCUAGCCUUGUGCGCAGCUACAACCAGCGUGCUAGGGCGAAGGAGGAGCUGCGCUUGAUUGAGGCAGAGGUUGAGCGGGGCUGCGCCUACUACGAGCGCCGUGUGAGGAUUCUGAAAGCGGCGCAGGAAACAAGUGCGCCAGGCUUGGGGCUGCUGCUUAAGCCUCACCUUUCCCGCUGCGAGUUGAUGCUGAAAUCAUUUCAGGGACUGCAGCGCGGAGAUGUGCCGGACGACACUAGCCUUUCUGUGGAUACCGAGUAGGGUAGGCAUGCUGUUGUGCGCCGGCUGGCUUUGGUCGAGGUCGGCCGAUGGUGCUGUAAGUCGCAGAAUAGCAUUGAACAAGCAUACAAGUAAUGUUGGCAAGGCCGGCGGGGCCAGGCGGAGUAUUUGAGUUGGGCGGGUGUGCUCAGACAUGUCCGCUAGGGCGGGGGUUCGGGCGUGUCCCAGCCGGCACCCGGUUUGGUCGAGGUCGGCCGAUGGUGCUGUAAAUCGCAGAAUAGCAUUGAACAAGCAUACAAGUAAUGUUGGCAAGGCCGGCGGGGCCAGGCGGAGUAUUUGAGUUGGGCGGGUGUGCUCAGACAUGUCCGCUAGGGCGGGGUUGUGGCGGGUCGAGCUAUGGGCGGCUCCCCAGGGACCUUUUUGCACCGGGCUGGGGAGGGCAGAAAAGACCGAAAGCUCUAGGGGCUGGGGACCUAGGCAUCUCCCCAGGAACAAUUUGUAAUCAACCGCGAUGGCAGCACAGCUCCCCCGGGCCUCAAAAGCGUGCUGCCAUUGCCCGGCUUUCGCUCGCUGCCCAUCGCGCGCCCGGCACUCUCCUUCACUACCACUUGGCACCCCUCGCCAGCCAUAGUAAGCAGCCCCUGUACACAUAUGCACUAUACACUACCCCGCUACACAUGAUAUAGCUCCCCGGCACUAGUGGGGCCACCUCGACCAUGCUUAACAUGUCUGCGGCGACAACAUGAAAGAGUGGAAAGACAUCUACAAAAGUGACACAGUUGAAACCUCAUUAUUUAGGCGCAGUCGUGGUGGACGCAGGGGUGGCAUUGCAGCGGGCACUGGCGGCCGCCGUGGACGCAGCGAAGCGCAGCUAAGUGUAGGUGGUCAUUACACCGUCCACGAUCAUAAUGGUGUUGUAGAACAGGACGACGAGGAAGGAGCAGCCUACGUUCAACAUGCGGCGCCUCACACGCUCCCCGACGUUGAUAGCGACACCCUCAGCUCAGACCCCGCAGACAGCUCAGACGACGAUGGUGAGGGGGCCGGAGGCGCUGAGCCGAGGGGGCAGGAGACAAAAUAUCCGCUGCCAUACGAUAGCAGCGCUGUCGUGGAAGACUUCUUCCGCAGCGUCACAGCGGCUGAUAAGGUGUGCAGCGAACUGCGCACCGCGACCCAGAAGGUGCUGCAGUGCAGUGCGGACUUCGAGGCUGCCAGCACGGCGUGCCCUGUGUGUGGCAAGCCCGGAGAUCCCAAGGGCAUGCCCCCUUUCAAAGUCACAGUAGUGACCUGGGACCAGCCCGUGAGCAUUGAUGUGCCACACGUGACCUGCAGCAGCUGCAUGCGUGGGUACACCCUGCGGCCCACUGUGCUCGGCUGCCUGCCCGAUACCAUUGUAUCGUGGGAUUUGCUUCGGCAACGUGACGGCAAUGUCAUCCUCUGGUGGCAGACCAGCCUUCUACAGCAGUUCACCAGCCUACAAUACUACAACGGGCAC